AUGAGGGCUUUCUCAUCAGCCAUACCAUGCAUCUGCAGCCUCCAGCACCUGAGAUGGACUGAACACUUGCUGUUUGCCAGUACCAAUAUACAACUCCUCAUAUUAUUCUCCUCACCAAGCAACAGGUCAUUAAGUUACACCAUUUAACAUUCCUUCAGUCAUGAGACGGUGUAAGAAAGAAGCCAUGCAGCGACUGCCCAAAAGGCAUCCAUUUCCAGAGAGCUGAGAUGGAGGCAGAGCAUUGGGGUUUGCUUAGUCAGAAUGGAAGCUGUGGGAGAAAAAUGCACUUAUAAGGAUAAAGGAAGGGACAGAAAAUAAUAGAAGGUAAAGUGUUUGUGGGUGAAAAAAAAUCUAUGCUUUCUUUGCUAAUGGCUGUUGAAGACACCUACCAGAGCCCUGCAUGAAAAAGCUGUGCAGAACUGGGUAUUCACAGAAUCACAGGCUAGCUGAGGCUGGCAGGGCCCUCUGAGGUCCAACUGGUCCCACCCUGCUCAAGCAGGGACACCCAGAGCAGGAUGACCAGGACCACGUACAAGAAACUUAUUGAAGAUCUCCAAGGAUACAAAUUCCACAACCUUGCUGGGCACCCAGUACCAGUUCUGCCGCCCACGCAGUAAAAAAACACUUCCUGAAAUUCAAUGUACAGACAGAAUUAAAUGCACAAACAGGAAAAAAAAAAAAAAAAAAAGUGCUGGGGCAAAUGGUCAGAGCAAAUGGAAACAGGAAAGAAGGUUGUCACUGCUCCCUGUGAAGGAAGUGACGUGAGGUGAUGCAGCCACGGAAGGUGUAGGGUUGUUUCCAUUCACUUUGACAUCUGUGGGGGUUCCACUACUUUACCUCUCAGCUCCAGGUCUGGCUAUCACCAAGCUGUAGGCACCAAGCUGUCAGGUGCCCUGAGAGAACAGAGGGCUCAUCCAUCUGGACUUCCCCUGUUGCAAGGUCUCUCUGCAUUUUUGAACAAUAACCAGUGAUCGCUCCUUCAGGAAUACCACAACCAAACUAAGACACUGCAUACCAACACUAUCAUUUCUCACUUCCAAAGUCCCACCACUACAUUGAUCUUUACUUAAAGGGGGAGUUACAUGUUGAAUACCUGGUGCAAAUGACUCUGAACUGACAUUUGGUAGUUCUGAAAUCUCAAAUGUACUCAUCCCCUUGUGCACAUAAUGUACAUAAUCCUGUGAGUAUUCAUUUUCUAUUAAUACAAUAAAGAGAUCAUCAAAUGGAACUUUAAAGCUGCA
RNAcentral lists this long non-coding RNA (1241 nucleotides) under Anas platyrhynchos platyrhynchos (common mallard). RNAcentral describes it as "lncRNA (ENSAPLG00000023594.1)". The record is from RNAcentral. Lineage: Eukaryota; Metazoa; Chordata; Aves; Anseriformes; Anatidae.